UUUGUAUAAUGGGUCAGCGACUUAUAUUCUGUAGCAAGGUUAACCGUAUAGGGGAGCCGAAGGGAAACCGAGUCUUAACCGGGCGUUAAGUUGCAGGGUAUAGACCCGAAACCCGGUGAUCUAGCCAUGGGCAGGUUGAAGGUUGGGUAACACUAACUGGAGGACCGAACCGACUAAUGUUGAAAAAUUAGCGGAUGACCUGUGGCUGGGGGUGAAAGGCCAAUCAAACCGGGAGAUAGCUGGUUCUCCCCGAAAGCUAUUUAGGUAGCGCCUCGUGAAUUCAUCUCCGGGGGUAGAGCACUGUUUCGGCUAGGGGGCCAUCCCGGCUUACCAACCCGAUGCAAACUGCGAAUACCGGAGAAUGUUAUCACGGGAGACACACGGCGGGUGCUAACGUCCGUCGUGAAGAGGGAAACAACCCAGACCGCCAGCUAAGGUCCCAAAGUCAUGGUUAAGUGGGAAACGAUGUGGGAAGGCCCAGACAGCCAGGAUGUUGGCUUAGAAGCAGCCAUCAUUUAAAGAAAGCGUAAUAGCUCACUGGUCGAGUCGGCCUGCGCGGAAGAUGUAACGGGGCUAAACCAU
Molecule: ribosomal RNA, 582 nt
Filed under: Salmonella enterica
Lineage: Bacteria; Pseudomonadati; Pseudomonadota; Gammaproteobacteria; Enterobacterales; Enterobacteriaceae
Also listed under: 1 other name
Description: partial 23S ribosomal RNA
Rfam family: Bacterial large subunit ribosomal RNA
Source: RNAcentral